This is a long non-coding RNA of Neomonachus schauinslandi (Hawaiian monk seal), 527 nucleotides long. RefSeq lists it as uncharacterized. The record is from RefSeq and is a predicted model, not a curated record. The transcript is spliced from 3 exons. NCBI's taxonomy places the organism in Eukaryota, Metazoa, Chordata, Mammalia, Carnivora, Phocidae.
CUUGUGGUGGGAUCCCUGCUUACCUCACCCAUGUGAUGCACUGUUCUCUUCCUGGCUGUGAUCUGAGACCAAUGCUAUGUCAGACUUCUGGUCCUGCACCUUGGACUCUUGUCAAUCAAUAGCAUGGAAGUAAUUGGAAACAGUGGCUAUGGACCCAAAGUGUUGCCUGGAAUACCAUAUUUGAAAAUGAUGAUCAUCUAAUCAGACAUGACCAGACACUUUUAAGAAGCUAAGGUUGACUUCGUGGAGCCCGUGCUUACAAAACUCUGUUUGGAACACUGGCCUCGUUCCUGGCUUACAGGUCUCCUGGCCUUGUAGGUCCAUCCCUCUUUUAAGAUGUCUGAUCUCCAGGACCCUGCCACCUUCCAAAAGAUGGUUCAACUGGUUUUACCGGAACCACACCAACAAGAAUCCACGGGAUACCAGUUUUCUUUUUCAUUAUCUCUUUUUAUUGGAGUAUAAUUGGCAAAUGAUAUUAUAUUAGUUUCAUUUUUUAAAAGAUUUAUUUAUUUAUUUGAGAGAGAGAG